GACGAACGCUGGCGGCGUGCUUAACACAUGCAAGUCGAACGGAAAGGCCCUGCUUUUGUGGGGUGCUCGAGUGGCGAACGGGUGAGUAACACGUGAGUAACCUGCCCUUGACUUUGGGAUAACUUCAGGAAACUGGGGCUAAUACCGGAUAGGAGCUCCUGCUGCAUGGUGGGGGUUGGAAAGUUUCGGCGGUUGGGGAUGGACUCGCGGCUUAUCAGCUUGUUGGUGGGGUAGUGGCUUACCAAGGCUUUGACGGGUAGCCGGCCUGAGAGGGUGACCGGCCACAUUGGGACUGAGAUACGGCCCAGACUCCAACGGGAGGCAGCAGUGGGGAAUAUUGCACAGUGGGCGGAAGCCUGAUGCAGCAACGCCGCGUGCGGGAUGACGGCCUUCGGGUUGUAAACCGCUUUCGCCUGUGACGAAGCGUGAGUGACGGUAAUGGGUAAAGAAGCACCGGCUAACUACGUG
RNAcentral lists this ribosomal RNA (468 nucleotides) under uncultured bacterium. RNAcentral describes it as "partial 16S ribosomal RNA". It matches the Rfam family "Bacterial small subunit ribosomal RNA", at positions 28 to 507 of the family's 1533-position model. The record is from RNAcentral.